GCCUGUCGUCGCUUUCGAUCGUGUUCGCUUUGGCUCGGCACGCGAUUAUCUUUGGUUUGAAACGGGGCGGGACAAAGCGGAGGUGGGAAGUGGUUGGAUUAUGGUGGAGCAUUAGUUAAAUCGCGGCGCUGGUUAGUGGAGCGGAGUGGGGAGCCGCAGGCCGGGCCGGGCCGGGUCGAUCGCCACGGUGCGUGCGUGCGUGAGGCCUUUACAGCCUGGGCGGGCGGAGCAGUGGCAGUUACGGCCGCAGAGACCGACUUACCACGUGCCCCGCGUCGUGCUCCGUCGACUCGGUCGCCAGUCACCCGCCACCACGCCCCGCGACCCGGCCGCGCGCCCGUGCGGGGCAGGCAGCGGUGGCGUGGCAGGGAUCGCGCACCCGCAUGGUGCCGGUUUGGUGCCCAGCGACAGCGUCGUGCUAUGCAGCCUUCGUUCGUCGCAUGCGGUGGUCGGAGGCUUACCGUACGCGGCUUGGUACAGUAUUUGGUUGGGGGAAGGCCGGAAGGGCAAGUGCAGUGCGCGGCUUUCUGAGCGUGCCCGCGCAGCGCCUCCGUGAAAAGACCCUUGCUCCCUCAGUAAUCGCGACGUGACAAGCCAAGGCGAGCACGCACGUACGCUCACCAGACCAGAUGUUCAUGUCGGAUGCCGCCGAUGGUAGCACGUGUGUCGUAUGUGGAGCGUGUACAAUUAUCUGGCUGGAAGAAGAUGUUUGUGUGCGUGUGCGCGCGCGCUUUUUCCCUCGCGUGUGUGUUAAUUAACCAGCCCCCCACCUACGUCUCCGGCUCCAGCUCAUGGCCGCUCCGCGAAGCAAGAGCGACCGGACGGAACACGAACAAGGAUCCGAUCCCGCGUACUACGUAUCUGCUGGCUGCUGCCCGCCGUACUACGUGGCGCCAGCCGCUCUCCGACGAACACAAGAGGCGCUCUGCUACAGGGCGGGCAGACAAUGCGGUUGAUCUGUAUGCUUUCGUGUUUGUUGCUUUGUGUGAAAGGCGACCGUGCACGCAGGACCACCUACGUGCCCGCGCGCCUAGCUGACUAGCUAACUCGUGUUCAUGAUCCGCUGUGGUGCAAUUGUUGCGUUGCCUCGAUCCGGUCUCCUCUGGGCAGCCUCUAUGCUGCGUGCACGGCGCACCAAAAGGACCACUCCACACAAGCGUCGCGUAAUAAUUGUCACUGGUGAAUAUUAUGGGGCGGAUGGAUCAGCGUGUUCGUGCGCAUGCCGUGGUACUUGGCAGGUCGUGACUGACGCUUGAUCGUUUUGGAAUUUCCAACUGUGUGUCCACGGAUAGGACGAUAGGGAUAUUAUGAGCAGCCGAUUUCUGGAAUCUGGGUGCACCGGAACGAAAAAAUCACUCGCAUGAUUCACAUGUGUGUUUUAGAAAAUUAACGUGUAAUGUUCUAUAUAAGAAUAUGAUCGGUAGUGUCGUGGUAAUGAUAAUCCUACCCAUUGGUCUCGCCUAGUCCUACAUGGCAAGUCAAGGAAGUCUAAAUAAAUUGUCGUGAUCAACAAGUUAAAGGAGAAGAAGAUUUUAAAGACAAACUUGAAAAAUAACCCAAAUGAUAAGUGUCACACGCGUGACAUGAAGUAACUCCGCUCUGACGUUUUUUAUAGUAACGUUGCCAUCCAAAAAAAAUAAACCAAAAAAAACUGAAACUUGUCAUCCAAACAGAAAGUUGUCAUGCUUCACAGCUAAAGUUGUCAUCCUCAGGUAACUAAACUUUCCAUCGAAAAAUAUUUGGGCGGAAUUGUUUCGUGCAACACGUGUGACACUUAUCAGGGCCCAAAAAUAAACAACGGCAAAGGAGCACAAGUCUAGAAUACACUCAUUUAGGGCAUCUCCAACAGCUACCCUUAAACCACCUACAACCGUCCGAACCGCGCAGUCCGGGCAUGUAGUGCCAUCCAAUGCGGGCCUGUACCGGUCCGCAGGGCGGUUCAGAUGCACUUUCUCUCAUAAAACCGGACACAAACGUGGAAGGGCUUCGCGGGCGCCCGGACAGCACCCGCACCCGCUUCUGGCCAUUCUGGAACACCCAAACUCCUUCCUCCCUCGCCCGCGGGCAUUCCUGCCCGGUGCCAGCUGCCCGCAUUCAUGUAGGGAUCAAAACGAAGCGGAAACAAACGGAACUAAGUGCUACCACAUUUGUUUCCAUAUAUUUUUGUAGAAGCGGAAACGAAUACAGAAACCCCGAAAAUGAAUACGGAAACAAAUACUACCGGAAGCAGACACAUAAUGAAUACAAAACAGACAUGAAAAUGGAAGCGGGCGUGGAACUUAAAAACCCCUUAAAAUCCCCAAGCUGAGUACAUGUGUGGUAGUAGAAGUUUAAGGUCUACUUGUCACAGACGGGAUGCCUAUAUAAUGAUUAUGCCUUGGAUGAUCUUCAUAGCUGUGCGCAAUUCUGUCAAUUACCCAACAAUAAUUUGUUUACCCUUCGCUAUUAUGCUUUCGAGAGAGGUGCCUCUAGUGAACCUAUGGUCCCCGGGUCCAUUCUCUAUAUAUUUACAAGUUCCUACAAUAGCUAUCAAUUUACUAUUAUUAUUCUAGUUAUUGUCAUCCUUUGCUAUUUUUACUAUUAUUUGACCUUGUGGCUAGCAAGAACAAGGGGAGUGAUGGCCCCCUUGACUUUGUUGGGUGCAAGCAAAAAAAAAUUUGGUGCAGGUGUUGAUAACGUUUCUACGUGUGUUGCCUCCUACUGGUUUGUUAAACCUUGGUUCAUAAGUGAGGGAAAUACUUUUUGCUGUUGUGCUGCAUUGCCCUUCCUCUUCAGGAAAAUCCAACAACUCCUGCGGGAGUAGUAGUUACCAAAUAAAAUUGUUAAUGAAAAGACAUUCAUAAAAUUGUUAUAUUUGAUUGAAUAAUUGGGAAGAUUACAAAUCUAUUCAUUUCAUAUUUAUAAAAAGAUAUAUUGUAGUUACUAUCAUUAACCGACUGGCUUUUACUUCUUAUUUUUAAUUUUGAGAUGACAUUGCGUGGCAAUCUGGCAUGAAGAUAUCCCUUUUGUUACUUGCCUUGGUUUCUCUGUUCCCGAGUACCACUACCGCUGCAAGUGUGAUCCCAAGCAUUAGUUGCUCUGGUAGCAACUACACGGGAUGGAGGGCUUAGAUGGGGAAAUUAGCCUUCGCCCCCAACAAAUUUCUUCUAGCUCUGUGGUACACAUAAAGAGGGAGAAUACCGACACCUGGAAUUUCGGACCUGAAAAAGCUACGUCAGGCUACCUAUUCUGCACAAUUCCAAAUAAGUUGAAACUUUACGGGGGAUUUUUAUAGAAUAUAUAAGAAAUAUUGGAGCCAAUAAGUACCAGAGGGGGUCCACCAGGUGGGCACAACCCACCUGGGCGCGCCAGGGAGCCCAGGCGCGCCCUGGUGGGUUGUGCCCUCCUCGGCCCACCACCGGUGCCCCUCUUCUGGUAUAUAAGUCAUUUUGACA
Aegilops tauschii subsp. strangulata is the source of this 3434-nucleotide long non-coding RNA. RefSeq lists it as uncharacterized. NCBI's taxonomy places the organism in Eukaryota, Viridiplantae, Streptophyta, Magnoliopsida, Poales, Poaceae. The record is from RefSeq and is a predicted model, not a curated record.